RNAcentral lists this ribosomal RNA (245 nucleotides) under uncultured bacterium. RNAcentral describes it as "partial 16S ribosomal RNA". It matches the Rfam family "Bacterial small subunit ribosomal RNA", at positions 524 to 768 of the family's 1533-position model. The record is from RNAcentral.
UACAGAGGUGGCAAGCGUUGUUCGGAAUUACUGGGCGUAAAGGGCGCGUAGGCGGCCUCGUAAGUCCUGUGUGAAAUCCCCCGGCUCAACCGGGGAACUGCACAGGAAACUGCGGGGCUUGAGUUCGGGAGAGGGAAGCGGAAUUCCGGGUGUAGCGGUGAAAUGCGUAGAUAUCCGGAGGAACACCGGUGGCGAAGGCGGCUUCCUGGACCGACACUGACGCUGAGGCGCGAAAGCCAGGGGAG